AACGAACGCUGGCGGCAUGCCUAACACAUGCAAGUCGAACGAGACCUUCGGGUCUAGUGGCGCACGGGUGCGUAACGCGUGGGAACCUGCCCUUAGGUUCGGAAUAACUCCCCGAAAGGGGUGCUAAUACCGGAUAAUGUCUUCGGACCAAAGAUUUAUCGCCUUUGGAUGGGCCCGCGUUGGAUUAGCUAGUUGGUAGGGUAAAAGCCUACCAAGGCGACGAUCCAUAGCUGGUCUGAGAGGAUGAUCAGCCACACUGGGACUGAGACACGGCCCAGACUACUACGGGAGGCAGAAGUGGGGAAUAUUGGAAAAUGGGCGAAAGCCUGAUCCAGCAAUGCCGCGUGAGUGAUGAAGGCCUUAGGGUAGUAAAGCUCUUUUACACGGGAUGAUAAUGACAGUAACGGGAGAAUAAGCUCCGGCUAACUCCGUG
This 433-nucleotide ribosomal RNA is filed under the name uncultured bacterium. Its description in RNAcentral is "partial 16S ribosomal RNA". It matches the Rfam family "Bacterial small subunit ribosomal RNA", at positions 29 to 507 of the family's 1533-position model. The record is from RNAcentral.